Molecule: ribosomal RNA, 255 nt
Filed under: uncultured Rhodobacterales bacterium
Lineage: Bacteria; Pseudomonadati; Pseudomonadota; Alphaproteobacteria; Rhodobacterales
Description: partial 16S ribosomal RNA
Rfam family: Bacterial small subunit ribosomal RNA
Source: RNAcentral
GUGCCAGCCGCCGCGGUAAUACGGAGGGGGCUAGCGUUGUUCGGAAUUACUGGGCGUAAAGCGCACGUAGGCGGAUCAGAAAGUUGGGGGUGAAAUCCCGGGGCUCAACCUCGGAACUGCCUUCAAAACUAUUGGUCUUGAGUUCGAGAGAGGUGAGUGGAAUUCCGUAGUGUAGAGGUGAAAUUCGUAGAUAUUCGGGGGAACACCAGUGGCGAAGCGGCUCACUGGCUCGAUACUGACGCUGAGUGCGAAAGC